Long non-coding RNA from Sebastes umbrosus (honeycomb rockfish), 1219 nucleotides. RefSeq lists it as uncharacterized. Lineage: Eukaryota; Metazoa; Chordata; Actinopteri; Perciformes; Sebastidae. The record is from RefSeq and is a predicted model, not a curated record. The transcript has 3 exons.
UGGGGGAAACAGUUUUUAACAUUCAGCAUUGGUGGAAAGUAACUACAUACAUUUACUCAAGUUUGAGACAGUUGUACUUUACAAGUAUUUCCAUUUUAUGACACGAAUACUUCUACUCCACUACUUUUAUCUGACAGCUGCAGUUACUGAACAAUUCAUCCAAACCUUUUUGACCUCGUGACCCCGUCACGGUCCCAGGGUUUGUUUGUAGUUCUGUUUCCUGUUUUAUUUUGAUAGUCACUCUCCUCAUGUCUUGUUUACUUCCUGCCUUUGUCUUUUUCCUGUUUUCUGUCUCACCUGUGUUUCAUUAGUUAAUUAGUGUGUUUAGACCGUGUGGUUUCACUUGUCCGGUAGCCUGCCUUAGGUGCUUGUUUCUACGUCCCAGUCGUGUUCCUAGUGUUUCGUUUUCUUCAGUAUUCCUAGUUUGUGUUGGAUUAACUUCUGUUACCUGCAUCAAGCUUUGGACUCAAGCUGCUGAGGAUCACCCCCACGGCUUGGUGCAGCACCAGCAGCUUGGUCUGCGGCUUCUCGCUCUUCAGGUGCAGCUGACACAUGUGACCCAGCUCCUUGAAGGCCUCGUUGAUGUCCCGCACACGCAGACGCUCCCGGGCGUUGUUGGCCAUCCUCCUGUCUUUCUCACGCUCGGCCUUCUGCUCCGGGCUCAGAUCCUCAUCCCCAUCCUCGUGGAUGCUACAACAUCAAUGAGAAGACGCUGGACAUGUCAGUGAAUGCAUCUUAAAAGGCCUACGAUACGCACACAGAGGGAAGCGUGUUGGCCGUGGUGUUUGAUACCUGCUGGCGUGACUCUGUGCUGAGGAUCUGCUGUAUGUCCGGGAUAAGACCUGAGCACGGCAAGCUGAUCUUCUAGUCUGAGUGCUGGAAGAUGUGGGGGUUGUAAGAGGAUUGGAGUUGCCGUGGCUUCACGGUGCACGUGUGAUUUCAGACCUCUGUGCCACAGUGACCUCACUGUCCCACAUUCACCAGAACAUAUAGACGGGUGGCGUUAGGUCACUGCCAGUCUAAUGCAUGACCUACUUGAUUUCCAGGGUGCAAGUCACGACAUCUACAACAAACAUAAUAAAUGGUGUUUGAGAGCAAAACAUGUAUUUAAGUGUGCCAACAUAUUCUGUAUAAUAUACAGCAAAAGGUAGAGAAUGUUAGCUUUAAUUGCAUUUCUCAUACAUGUAACUAAAUUAUCUGAAAAAAUAAAACAUUGAUC